RNAcentral lists this ribosomal RNA (368 nucleotides) under uncultured bacterium. RNAcentral's name for it is "bacterial SSU rRNA". It matches the Rfam family "Bacterial small subunit ribosomal RNA", at positions 29 to 419 of the family's 1533-position model. The record is from RNAcentral.
AACGAACGCUGGCGGCAGGCCUAACACAUGCAAGUCGAACGAGAUCUUCGGAUCUAGUGGCGGACGGGUGAGUAACGCGUGGGAACGUGCCCUUCUCUACGGAAUAGUCCGGGGAAAACUGGGUUUUAAUACCCGUAUACGCCCUUCGGGGGUAAAGGAAUUUCGGGUAAGGAUCGGCCCGCGUUGGAUUAGGUAGUUGGUGGGGUAAUGGCCUACCAAGCCGACGAUCCAUAGCUGGUUUUGAGAGGAUGAUCAGCCACACUGGGACUGAGACACGGCCCAGACUCCUACGGGAGGCAGCAGUGGGGAAUCUUAGACAAUGGGGGCAACCCUGAUCUAGCCAUGCCGCGUGAGUGACGAAGGCCCUA